CAUUAGUGAAUUCAAAUUUCUUCCUUCGGGGAGUGCAGCAUGGGCCCUCGUGCCCAUGUUGUGGAAUCACAUCCUUAACACCUGUGAACUGUCUGUCAAGAACAAGGCUUCGGCUUUGGACUUGUACACUUUACCAAACUUUACUCUGUAAAAAAUGUCAUCUUAUUAUAAACUAAUAAAACUUUUAACAACGGAUCUCUUGGCUCUCGCAUCGAUGAAGAACGCAGCGAAAUGCGAUAAGUAAUGUGAAUUGCAGAAUUCAGUGAAUCAUCGAAUCUUUGAACGCAAAUUGCGCUCCUUGGUAUUCCGAGGAGCAUGCCUGUUUGAGUGUCAUGAAAUCAUCCACCCUGACUUUUGGUUAGUUCCAUUGGUCUUGGCUGGGAUUUGGGCGCUUGCCUCUGAUAAAGCGGCUCGCCUUAAAAUGAUUUCGGAUUGACUCUGUCUGCAGUCGGUUUGACUUGGCGUUAUAAGUUAUUUCGCUAAGGACAUCUUCGGAUGGCCGAUCAAUGACAGCUGUCUUGUGCUGCGUGUGUCUCACACUACCAGUGCGCUCCAUCUUUUGACAUCUGGCCUCAAAUCAGGUAGGACUACCCGCUGAACUUAAGCAUAUCAAUAAGCGGAGGAAAAGAAACUAACAAGGAUUCCCCUAGUAACGGCGAGUGAAGCGGGAAGAGCUCAAAUUUGAAAUCUGGCUGCCUUCGGUAGUCCGAGUUGUAAUCUAGAGAAGUGUUUUCCGUGCUGGCCCAUGUACAAGUCCCUUGGAACAGGGCGUCAUAGAGGGUGAGAAUCCCGUACUUGACAUGGACUCCCAGUGCUCUGUGAUACAUUUUCAAAGAGUCGAGUUGUUUGGGAAUGCAGCUCAAAAUGGGUGGUAAAUUCCAUCUAAAGCUAAAUAUUGGCGAGAGACCGAUAGCGAACAAGUACCGUGAGGGAAAGAUGAAAAGCACUUUGGAAAGAGAGUUAAACAGUAUGUGAAAUUGUUAAAAGGGAAACGAUUGAAGUCAGUCGUGCGUUUUGGACUCAGCCGGUUCUGCCGGUGUACUUCCAAUUCGCGGGGUCAACAUCAGUUUUGCUCGGUGGAAAAGGGCUGGAGGA
RNAcentral lists this ribosomal RNA (1095 nucleotides) under Tremellomycetes sp. genotype e52ss002. RNAcentral's name for it is "eukaryotic LSU rRNA". The stretch from base 568 to 1095 matches the Rfam family "Eukaryotic large subunit ribosomal RNA", at positions 1 to 533 of the family's 3401-position model. Lineage: Eukaryota; Fungi; Basidiomycota; Tremellomycetes. The record is from RNAcentral.